RNAcentral lists this small nuclear RNA (161 nucleotides) under Meriones unguiculatus (Mongolian gerbil). RNAcentral describes it as "U1 spliceosomal RNA (ENSMUGG00000022194.1)". Lineage: Eukaryota; Metazoa; Chordata; Mammalia; Rodentia; Muridae. The record is from RNAcentral.
UCACUGAGAGAUGGUGUAAGACAGCGUGACCAUGAAUUAAGGUGGCCUUCCCAGGGUGAGACUCCCAUUGCACUCUGGAUAGGCAAACUUCUGGCAUUUCCCCCAAAGUGGGAAACUGUUACACAAUCCUGGUAGUAGAGAAGUGUCUCCUCACUCUCUGU